AGCUCCAAUAGCGUAUAUUAAAGUUGUUGCAGUUAAAAAGCUCGUAGUUGAAUUUCUGGUGGAAGAUAGUGGCCGUAGCCAUGCUAUGUGCUCACUUUUCUUCCGCCAUCCUUGGGUGGAGCCAGUCUGGCAUUAAGUUAUCGGGCUGGGGAUGCCCAUCGUUUACUGUGAAAAAUUAGAGUGUUCAAAGCAGGCUUAUGCCGUUGAAUAUAUUAGCAUGGAAUAAUAAGAUAGGUCCUUGAGACUAUUUUGUUGGUUUGCGUUUUAAGGAAAUGAUGAAUAGGGACAGUUGGGGGUAUUCGUAUUCAGUUGUCAGAGGUGAAAUUCUUAGAUUAAUUGAAGACGAACUACUGCGAAAGCAUUUACCAAGGAUGUUUUCA
Molecule: ribosomal RNA, 380 nt
Filed under: uncultured eukaryote
Lineage: Eukaryota
Description: SSU rRNA
Rfam family: Eukaryotic small subunit ribosomal RNA
Source: RNAcentral